RNAcentral lists this ribosomal RNA (468 nucleotides) under uncultured bacterium. Its description in RNAcentral is "partial 16S ribosomal RNA". It matches the Rfam family "Bacterial small subunit ribosomal RNA", at positions 28 to 507 of the family's 1533-position model. The record is from RNAcentral.
GACGAACGCUGGCGGCGUGCUUAACACAUGCAGGUCGAACGGAAAGGCCCUGCUUUUGUGGGGUGCUCGAGUGGCGAACGGGUGAGUAACACGUGAGUAACCUGCCCUUGACUUUGGGAUAACUCCAGGAAACUGGGGCUAAUACCGGAUAGGAGCUCCUGCUGCAUGGUGGGGGUUGGAAAGUUUCGGCGGUUGGGGAUGGACUCGCGGCUUAUCAGCUUGUUGGUGGGGUAGUGGCUUACCAAGGCUUUGACGGGUAGCCGGCCUGAGAGGGUGACCGGCCACAUUGGGACUGAGAUACGGCCCAGACUCCUACGGGAGGCAGCAGUGGGGAAUAUUGCACAAUGGGCGGAAGCCUGAUGCAGCAACGCCGCGUGCGGGAUGACGGCCUUCGGGUUGUAAACCGCUUUCGCCUGUGACGAAGCGUGAGUGACGGUAAUGGGUAAAGAAGCACCGGCUAACUACGUG